GCUCAAGUGGUGGAACGGCAUACACAACAGACUUAAAAUCUGUCGGCAAAAGCCUUGCGGGUUCAAAUCCCGCCUUGAGCA
Molecule: transfer RNA, 81 nt
Filed under: Caudoviricetes sp.
Lineage: Duplodnaviria; Heunggongvirae; Uroviricota; Caudoviricetes
Description: tRNA-Leu
Rfam family: tRNA
About the family: Transfer RNA (tRNA) molecules are approximately 80 nucleotides in length.
Source: RNAcentral